RNAcentral lists this ribosomal RNA (497 nucleotides) under uncultured bacterium. RNAcentral describes it as "partial 16S ribosomal RNA". It matches the Rfam family "Bacterial small subunit ribosomal RNA", at positions 28 to 507 of the family's 1533-position model. The record is from RNAcentral.
GAUGAACGCUGGCGGCGUGCCUAAUACAUGCAAGUCGAGCGAACAGACGAGGAGCUUGCUCCUCUGACGUUAGCGGCGGACGGGUGAGUAACACGUGGAUAACCUACCUAUAAGACUGGGAUAACUUCGGGAAACCGGAGCUAAUACCGGAUAAUAUAUUUAACCGCAUGGUUCAAUAGUGAAAGACGGUUUUGCUGUCACUUAUAGAUGGAUCCGCGCCGCAUUAGCUAGUUGGUAAGGUAACGGCUUACCAAGGCGACGAUGCGUAGCCGACCUGAGAGGGUGAUCGGCCAAACUGGAACUGAAACACGGUCCAGACUCCUACGGGAGGCAGCAGUAGGGAAUCUUCCGCAAUGGGCGAAAGCCUGACGGAGCAACGCCGCGUGAGUGAUGAAGGUCUUCGGAUCGUAAAACUCUGUUAUUAGGGAAGAACAAAUGUGUAAGUAACUAUGCACGUCUUGACGGUACCUAAUCAGAAAGCCACGGCUAACUACGUG